Long non-coding RNA from Saccostrea echinata, 681 nucleotides. RefSeq lists it as uncharacterized. The record is from RefSeq and is a predicted model, not a curated record. Lineage: Eukaryota; Metazoa; Mollusca; Bivalvia; Ostreida; Ostreidae. The transcript is spliced from 2 exons.
GCUGCUAAUUAAGCCAUAGCUGUCUGUUUUCUUUGAGAAUCAAAGAAUUGCAGCAAGUCUUUUAGGUUUUCAAUGAAAUUUCCUUGUUUUUCAGAUAAUCCGUAUAGAGUGGCACCUUAACCACCACUGGUGAAAUAGAAGAUGACUAGUGGAUGGUCAUCACUUUGCAGCUCACUUUCACUUUCUGCAGCCCAUCUCUUCUCAUCCACAAUCAUUGUCUUUGGAGGAAUGGUGACAGUGCAGUCCUCAUGGCUGGGCAGGUCUACUGCAUGUUGACAGCUGAUACUUGUUCUCUAUUUGCUCCGAGAGGCCUACUACACAUUACCUCAGUUAUGAUUGUACUCGUGCUGGCUUCUAUGAUGUUAAUUUCCUUUACCUGCACUGCGUUAAACUUGGUCAAUUCUGUUACUGUCGCUCACCAACAGAUGAAAAUAAGAUUUAGCUGAUCCUGCCAACAUUGUGACAUAAGCGGUCCAAUGUCCAAUAUCUCACUCUGCAGUCAAACAUCAUUUUUUUUAUGAACGCUCAGUAAAACAUUGGAAAUGUUAGACUUUUUUAGUAUUGAUUUAUAUAGUUAUAUUUUUUUAAAGUAAUAACAAUUCUUUUUAUUGAUGUAUGUUUAAGUAUGCAAAAAUGAACAUUGAUGAUAUUUAUCUUCUGAAUAAAAUUUUAUAUCGAUAA